UGUAAUGCCAUUCAAUCAUCUCUGAAUUUUACUUGCCUGAUUAGUUGAGUGAAGCAGAUUUUCAAUUUAAAUGUAACUUCAUCUGCUUGAUUAAAAAUGUAACAGAACAUUAUCUGCUGCAAAUAAAUUUCAGUGGAAGAGAUGAUUUUGCCUGUUUAAAAAUAACAUCUGUUUAUAUUGGCUGGAAGCAGACGAUUAAUACUUCUCUAAUUUCGAGGUUUACCAGUCCAGCUCACCUGUCUUUUUGCAUGGAUAGUUGAAAUUGAUGGCUGUCGAGUAUAAACAUUUACCUGUUGAUGUUUAGUUGAUGGAUUUCUUUUUUAAGGAUAAUAUAGAAUCCCAUCAUUGGGCAUUCAUUUAUUUGCUGCUCAUCAAGAUGAUUGACAGUUUUGCCAACAACGUGGAAAAAGGAUCUUCCUUCAUGAUGCAUACGAGAAAAAUUUUACCCCUCAGUGAUGAGUGCCCUACAGGGGGAAGAAAAAAACAGAUUCUUAUGAAUUCUUUUUUAUAGUUGAUAUUUAUUUGAAUUCUGAGUUUAGAGUCCAUGUGUAUAAAUUUAAGCCAAGUGUGUAGUAAAUGAAGUUGACCACAGGUGGCAUCUUUGCAGUCCUUUUUGCUUUAGCUGGGGUAUUUGGAGUGUGUUCCACAUAUGCAUAGCUUUCAUACAGUGAUGACCAGAGGCUGAAGAUGGUGGGGGACAGUACAAAUGCUUCAGCUCUGGGGCCUGUUGGACAGAAUUGAAACCCAAUUUUGGCAUCUCUUAGUGGGGCAUCCUC
Molecule: long non-coding RNA, 776 nt
Organism: Molossus molossus (Pallas's mastiff bat)
Lineage: Eukaryota; Metazoa; Chordata; Mammalia; Chiroptera; Molossidae
Exons: 3
Source: RefSeq, a predicted model, not a curated record